CCUACGGGUGGCAGCAGUCGAGAAUCAUUCACAAUGGGGGAAACCCUGAUGGUGCGACGCCGCGUGAGGGAAUGAAGGUCUUCGGAUUGUAAACCCCUGUCAUGUGGGAGCAAAUUAAAAAGAUAGUACCACAAUAGGAAGAGACGGCUAACUCUGUGCCAGCAGCCGCGGUAAUACAGAGGUCUCAAGCGUUGUUCGGAAUCACUGGGUGUAAGGGGUGCGUAGGCGGUUUCGUAAGUCGGGUGUGAAAGGCGCGGGCUCAACCGGCGGACGGCACAUGAUACUGGGAGACUAGAGUAAUGGAGGGGGAAGCGGAAUUCUCGGUGUAGCAGUGAAAUGCGUAGAUAUCGAGAGGAACACUCGUGGCGAAGGCGGGUUCCUGGACAUUAACUGACGCUGAGGCACGAAGGCCAGGGGAGCGAAAGGGAUUAGAUACCCCUGUAGUC
Molecule: ribosomal RNA, 446 nt
Filed under: uncultured bacterium
Lineage: Bacteria
Description: partial 16S ribosomal RNA
Rfam family: Bacterial small subunit ribosomal RNA
Source: RNAcentral